RNAcentral lists this long non-coding RNA (2225 nucleotides) under Mus musculus (house mouse). RNAcentral describes it as "long non-coding RNA chr6:33846012-33848237". Lineage: Eukaryota; Metazoa; Chordata; Mammalia; Rodentia; Muridae. The record is from RNAcentral.
UGAGUUUUUCUGGAACACAGAAUUGAAGCUGAGGAGGAGUGAGACAAGUGUACAGUAUGAUAGUAACUAUAACUUUACGUUAAAAUUUUCACCUGCUUAAAUAUUUUCCCCAUACACCCUUAAUCCCUGCUACUAUUUACUGCCUGUUUACUGAUUCUCCACAAAUACCCUCUCUCUGACAUUUGCAUCCUCAUCUUCCUUCAUCUUCACUUUCCUCCAAGUUUUAUGGUAGCACUGUGGUCUCUGUGGUCUCACUCAGCCACAGUCUUUCUCCACCUCUCUCAUCCUUUCUCUCCCUCUACUAUGAAUGCUGCUCAGAGUACUGGACCCUUAGUGAUCCUUGCUUCAAUCAAUGACAACCAGAGGGGAAAAAUCACAACUGUCAAUACAGUGUAACCCUCAGAGGAGGGUAUGCCCUGCUGCAUCAGUAUCUGUGUGUAAGCCUGUACUCAUUUCUUCUAGUUGAAAGCCAUGGCACAUUAUGCUCAACUCAUAAUAAGUGAUUAUUGAUUAUUUUAAUUCUGUUCUGACAAAGUUCUGAAGCUUACAGCAUGUUGUUGUUUGGAGACUGAUAUUAUCAGUAUGAGUGAGUGAGAUACAAUAUCUCCUGGCAGAAAACCCAUGUGACAUGUGACUCUGUAACUAAAGAAGCAAGACGGAGUCCACUGCUUGUGUGUCGUGGUUCCCAUCCAGGAGGGAAACACCGAGACCAGGCUCAAUUGGAGUGCUUGGCUUAGAAAAGAAUGUUUAAAAUCAUUCUUGUUCCGAGAUGACAGACCUCAUGAAUGCACUAGUAUUAAUUACAUGUGUGUUGUAAGUUGAGCCAGUGCAUUAAAGUAAUAUACUGUUCACAGUUAGAUGUUUGCUUACUGGGACAUGAGUCCAUCUUCAUGAAAGUUAUAAGUCUACCAAAGGAUGGAACCAUGUAUCCUGACACUUGGUACCAAAACCAAAUAUAGACAACAUGGAGUUAGGCCUGAGCUGAGCCUGUGGUCCUGUUCUACUCUUCCCUGUCCUCCAAUCCUUCCAUUCAUGAGUCAGCCAACAUAUGUACUGACAACAUGUAGCCUGGGUGUUUGGGGCUUUUCCCCAGUGGUUAUGGGUAUAUGUAUUUAUUCAUUUAAACUAGCACACCAGAGAGGAGCAGGGGGCAUGAGGGAGGACAGUUAAAGGGCCUGGGGUAUAGCUCAGUUGAUAGCAUGCACAGAACAACUGAGCUUGGUGGUGCACACUUGUGAUUUCAUCACUCACGAGGUAGAGGCAGGAAAGUUGGCUACAGAGUAAGUUUGAGGUUAACAAGAGACACAUGAACCUCUGUCUUAAAAGAAGAAGAAAAAAUAAAUGCACACACUUAAAAGUGCUAGGUAUCAGAUACUCAAAUGAAGGCAACAGGGUGCUGAUGUGCAGUAUGGAGCUAUUCUUGAUAAUACUCUACUGUGCUGUGGGAACUUUUGCUACAAGCAUAGAUUAUAGAGCUCUUAAUUAUCUCUCAAUUAUGAGAUAAUAAAUGUGCUUAAUCUCUUCAAUAUAUAAAAAAGUUUUUUUCAAAAAUUUACAAAAGACCAUAGAAAGUCUAAUUCAGUAUUGUUUAUGUUUUCCAUGUGUAGUUUAUAAUAGAGUGCACCUUACAGAAGAAAGUAACCUCAUGUAUCGUGGCUGUUUUGUCAAAUGUUGAGCACAACUUACUACUCUUUGGUACUGCUUAGGGCUCUAGCUUCAAUGUGUUUACAUGCACAGCACAUUUUAUUUGUAAAGAUUCACCACUUUAUUUUAUGCAUCAGAGGAUCUUCUUUAUAAAGAUACCUCAUUUUAAAAAAUUGGUUGGUUCUUUGAUGGUUCCUAUAUUCCAUUGAAAUCACCAGUUCAACACUUUUACAAAAACCAGAGCCUACCUGGAGUAGGUUUCAGUCCUUAUUGUGAUCAUUGCUUUUGCAUUGUUGGCUGAGUGACACACAUGAAACUGGCUACACAGACCCAGAUUUCUGUCUUCAUCCAUUGCUCGCUCUGAAGAGUAGGAAGUGGAGGGAUCGUCCAGGAUGCAGUACUGAGAGCUGCUGACAUAGCCAUCUCUACCGCACUUGGACAUUUUUCAAUGGGAAAUUUGGCCAGGUGGCCCACUUUUGUAGUCCCAGCACUUGGAUGUAGAGGGCUGCCAUGGGUUUAAGGUCAGCAUUAUCUGCAUAGCCUAUUCCUGGCCAGCCAGGGUUACAUAGUAAGACCCUGUG